CAGCCUCCCAAAGUGGACAUUUGAACAUUUUAAAGCUUCAAUAAGUGAGUUUGCUGAUUCAGUUUGGGUACAACAUUAAUUGGGCGUUUUAAACCUUACAUGGUCCAAAGUCGAGGUCUUUGAGGAAAAGAUAACCAAGGCAGCUUUGUGGACAUAAUGGUUGAAGCUCUGGGAAUCUUCAGACAGUCUCCAUUAAAAUGUAAAUUCCCAGGAGAAAAGGUCUGAUUAUUCCAGUUUCUUCCUAGAUCAAUUCUUAGUCCCUGAUUGCUGAACAAAAAUCAGGAUAUUAAUCCAAGUCAGGGUAGGUUGAAUUAUCAACAAUGAGAACAGUUAAGAGUUGGGAUCAUUUUUUUGGAGGCGGUGGGGGCGGGUGGACAGGGUUGUUGGUCAAAAUACUGCUGUUCAGACAAAAGAAUCUACCCAGGUGCCCCAAAUGGAAAGCAAGUUCUGAAUGCAAGAUACUUGAAUCAUUUUGCCAAGUUAAAAUCAAGAGGACAGGAGACACAGCAGGACCAGACUCACUUAAUAAAAUUCUGGAAGUUAGAGGCAGGUAAGGCGCCUGCUUCAGGGUAAAACUAGAACAAAAUAGGAUUCAAAAGGCAGAUCACAAGUCAGGAAUGUAAUAUCUGGAGUUGUUAUGUACCUGUCUGCAUUUGUUAGUGGUUCUUCCACCAUUUGACCCUGCUCUGUAGAUUAAUGCCUCCCUUGCUAGCCUUUCUGCUUCCCUAUGGAAAAUCUUAGCAACAAAACAUUGAGUGCAUCUGAGAAAUAUGAAAAGUUGAGCAUUCAGUGUUUAGGAGGGGUGGUAACCAAGGCAGCUCUGUAGACACAAUGAUUGAAGCACUUGGAACCUUCAGACACUGUGAGUCUCCAUUAAGAUGUUUCAAUUCCCAGGAUAAAAAUGUCUGAUUAUUCCAGGUUUCUUCCUAGAUGAAUCAGGUAUUUCUUGGAGUGAAGGUAGGGGGUGGGAUGUCAUGUAGCACAGUAGGGACACUGAAGGCCCAUCUUAUGCAUCAAGGCCAUUCUUGGAUAAGGAAGAAUUGUUAGGGGCAGGAGAGUGACUUCAACCUGAGCUUACCACAAAGUCCAAAACCUCAUUGAUUCAUUCAUCAAGACAGCACAUCACAGCAGGGUGCUUCAGAAUGCAAGCUCUGGAACCAAGUGCUUGGGAUCCAUUUCUGGCUCUGUCAGUUACUAACACUGCACUUUCUUCACCAGUCAAAGCAGUUAAUUUGAGUACCUAUCUCACAGGAUUGUACUGACGAGUAAAAGGCUUAACGCACAUAGUGAGUCUAGGAUAGUACAUGGCCCUUAAUAAGCACUCAAUAAAUUUUAGCUAUUACUAGCAUUCAUUUGAAAAAUCUUAAUGAGCACUGAUUAUGUGCCAAGUACUGUGUGAGCUCCUCACCACCCUUUAGCCCAAACCUAUUCUUCCACCGAGUAGGAUAUUCUUAUCCUAGUCAUUCAUUAGAAACAUGGGAGUCAUCUCAACUGCUCCUACCUCCUCAUUACACACACCCGACAGGGUUCCACCUAUUAAACCUCUACCAGCCCCUUCCCUCUUUUCCCAUCUGCAUUGUCACUGCCCGAUUCAGGCCUUCUUCAAUGUCCCAUCUGCAAUAUGACAACAGUUUCCACGGUGUCUUCCUAGGGUCAAUGUCACUCUCAUCUAAUCUAAGAUUUUUAAAAUUCCAAGUUUUGUUAUUAUUUUUUAAACACAUACCUGACAAUAUCAUUCACUUGUUCAAAGGCUUCAGUACUAUUAAACCCUCAUGGGGCCUUUGUGAUCUGGCCCUUCCUGUCUCCGUAGGCCUCCCUCUGUGCCGUCACUAAACAGGCUGGAGUUUCCUGAACGUCCAGUGCUGUUUCACUUCUCUAUGGGUGCUGUUCCUUCUGCUGGGUCACCUACAGCAGACAAUUCCACUUGCCUGACAAUUCAUCCUCCUACGUGAAGGUUCAUUAUUCCAUCAAUAAACACUUUCUAACACUUAUCAUGAGACAAGCCUGGGCCAAGUUCAGGGAGUACAAUGCUGAAUGACAAACUCGACCCUUUCUUUCUCAUAGAAAAAGUAACUUUAGGGCUCUCAAAGGAGGAAUAAAGUUUGGAAAUUAAGGUAAAGUUGUCUGAAAUUUAGCAUUGUUGCCUUUACCAGUUGGAUAUCUUAGCAAACUGGGGAAACUUGGAAACCUUGAUACUUGGGCAU
This 2204-nucleotide long non-coding RNA is filed under the name Homo sapiens (human). RNAcentral describes it as "HSALNT0114643". The record is from RNAcentral. Lineage: Eukaryota; Metazoa; Chordata; Mammalia; Primates; Hominidae.